AUUGAACGCUGGCGGCAUGCCUUACACAUGCAAGUCGAACGGUAACGCGGGGCAACCUGGCGACGAGUGGCGAACGGGUGAGUAAUGCAUCGGAACGUGCCCAGUAGUGGGGGAUAGCCCGGCGAAAGCCGGAUUAAUACCGCAUACGACCUACGGGUGAAAGGGGGGGAUCGCAAGACCUCUCGCUAUUGGAGCGGCCGAUGUCAGAUUAGGUAGUUGGUGGGGUAAAGGCCCACCAAGCCGUCGAUCUGUAGCUGGUCUGAGAGGACGACCAGCCACACUGGGACUGGGACACGGCCCAGACUCCUACGGGAGGCAGCAGUGGGGAAUUUUGGACAAUGGGCGCAAGCCUGAUCCAGCCAUGCCGCGUGCGGGAAGAAGGCCUUCGGGUUGUAAACCGCUUUUGUCAGGGAAGAAAUCUUUUGAGUUAAUACCUCGGAAGGAUGACGGUACCUGGAGAAUAAGCACCGGCUAACUACGUGCCAGCCGCCGCAGUAA
Molecule: ribosomal RNA, 498 nt
Filed under: uncultured bacterium
Lineage: Bacteria
Description: partial 16S ribosomal RNA
Rfam family: Bacterial small subunit ribosomal RNA
Source: RNAcentral